UACGUAGGGUGCAAGCGUUAAUCGGAAUUACUGGGCGUAAAGCGUGCGCAGGCGGUUUUGUAAGUCUGUCGUGAAAGCCCCGGGCUUAACCUGGGAAUUGCGAUGGAGACUGCAAGGCUUGAAUCUGGCAGAGGGGGGUAGAAUUCCACGUGUAGCAGUGAGAUGCGUAGAGAUGUGGAGGAAUACCGAUGGCGAAGGCAGCCCCCUGGGAUAACACUGACGCUCAU
Molecule: ribosomal RNA, 227 nt
Filed under: uncultured bacterium
Lineage: Bacteria
Description: partial 16S ribosomal RNA
Rfam family: Bacterial small subunit ribosomal RNA
Source: RNAcentral